RNAcentral lists this long non-coding RNA (2276 nucleotides) under Capra hircus (goat). RNAcentral's name for it is "lncRNA (ENSCHIG00000004705.1)". The record is from RNAcentral. Lineage: Eukaryota; Metazoa; Chordata; Mammalia; Artiodactyla; Bovidae.
AACUAACUGGACCUGAGUGUGACCCGGGAGAUGAGGGAAUGGGCAGGCAGCAUGGGCAGACUAGCUCCCUAGAACUUUGACAGCAGCCUCUUCCCAAGGGAAGGACUCAGCUGAUUUCUGAGAAAGCAACCACCAAAUUCUAGAACAUACUUAACAUUUCGGUCUAGUCUGUUCUUAAUCUGAAUCUAGGUCCACUGAAAGAGGUUAGCAGGAGAUCAAGAUGGGAAGGAUGAGGAAAGAAUGGAGGUGGAGAGUUGACCAUAUGGGCUGGAAGGGAACCUUGUAGGAAUACAGGCAGCUGGGGAAAGAACUGCAAGGAUAAGUACUUAGAGAAGAAGGGGACGGUUAAAAAGACUUUAGGGCAUGGGAGAAGAACUGACAAUGGACAGAUGUCAACACAUUUCUGGAAGGCUGAAAACAAGACAGGGGAAGAUGGGAACCAAAUGCUGUGAUGAGAAUGCAGAUAUGUUCAGGAUUUGCCAGCAACAGCAUCCCCCAGGGAGAGUCUAGGUUAUUUUUAAGAAGACAGCAGAGAAAGAGGGAGAAGAAGGCUGCAAACCAAGAGGCUUCUGAAAGAAAGGAGCUCCAAGGAAGAUUGUGCACAGCUUCAGCAUCUUCUAGUUGUGCAAAGCAUUUCUUCAGCCUCAAGAAGUUCUAACCUGCAUACUGAUGAGACUGGUCCUGAGCCUCUUCUGUGCCUAAAAGCUGCCCAGAACCCGACUGAGACAAACCCUGACCAGUGCAGAAGUUCUUCAUAUGAAGAGCAUUCCAUGUGGGGUUAGAGAUGGCUGGCUGGCUAAGAAGACACUCUUCGCUAAAAAACUCCAGUGUAUCUCCUGUUUUCUUUUUUAAUGUUUAGACUAUCCUGUAAGAAGGCAUUAUUUUUAUUUAUUUUGAAAAACAAGUGGCAGUUCCAAACCAAGAAUCCUUCAGUUCAUUUCUUUGUAACUAAUGUAUACAUUUAUUUAUAGUCUCACUUUUCAUCAUUAAGAAUCAUUCUAAUUUCUCUGGCUUGAGGGAAAAAUAGAGACUGGCCAUCCAAGAUUUAAACCUUCAGUUAUCUAAAACACCAGGAGGUGCUAUAAGAUAAUGUUAAGGAACAUGAUUCCCCCACCUCCUAGAGUUACAGGUUUGAAAUUCUAGUUACACAAAGUUUUAACAAAACUGUUUUCCCUGAGAAAGUCUUAAAUGUCCAGAUUCUAAGGUAAUAGACCAUUCCCUGGAUCUAAGGACUCUUUCAAGGGAGGAUAGUAGCCUUGUCAAGGUUUCAGGGACAUUAAUAAAGAUUUGCAGAGAUAUUUUCUACAUUCCUAAUGCCAGGAACUAUUUGUGGAAGGAUAGUAAUGAAAAACUAUUGAUACAGGUUUUGUGGGUGUAACAAAGUUUAAAAUGCAAUCAGAAAACCAGGUGAGACUACCAAAUGAAAUUCUGGAGCUGGUGUGCAGCUCUUGCCUGGGCGGGUAUUUACUCUUCCAACUACAUAUCAGCUACAUCUAUGCAGACAACCAUUUCAGUUACAUAGCUAAAGAGAAAUUUAUUUGUAUUUUUCUAGUGAAUCAAUAGCAUCAUCUCUUUGGACAAUUUCUAAUAAGCAAUUUUUAAGAAUUAUCAGCUUCAGUGAGACAUAAUGUACUUGAAAUGAAACUAACCAAUUAAAAACGUACAAUUUGAUGAAUUUUGACAAAUGUAUACAUGGUCAUGUAAUCACUGCCAAAAUGAUGAUGUAGAACAGUUUUUCACCUUUUUCUCUCGCUUCUGCUUUUUAAAAGUUGAGGUAUAGCUGAUUUAUAAUCUUAUAUAAGUUUCAGGUGUACAGCAUAGUGAUUCAUAAUCUUAAAGAUUAUACUCCAUUUAUGAUUAUUAUAAAGUGUUGGCCAAAUUCCCUGUAGAAUAUUUCCAUCCACCACCCUCCCCCCACCCCUAUUUCCUUCAUGCUCCUUUUCAAUUAAUAUUAUCACACCACUACCUGGACCCUGGUAAUCACUGAUCUGCUUUCUGUGACUAUACUUUCUCCUUUUCUAGAAUUUUACACUAGCCUUUUGUGGCUAAUAUUUCUUAUGUCUCAUAAUUUUUUUUGAGAUUUAUCCAUGCUGUGUGUAUUAGUAAUUUAUUCCUUUUUAUUAUAGAGUGGUAUUUUAUUACAUGGUUAUAUGUCAGUGUGAUUUAUAUUCACAAUUUGAUGGACAUUUGGGUUCUUUUCAGUUUUGGGAGGUUAUGAAUAAAGCUGUAGUAAAGACUCUUGUGCAAGUCUUUGUACGAACUUAUGCUUUUUCUUC